AUUGAACGCUGGCGGCAUGCUUUACACAUGCAAGUCGAACGGUAACAGGUUAAGCUGACGAGUGGCGAACGGGUGAGUAAUGCAUCGGAACGUGCCCGGUCGUGGGGGAUAACACUUCGAAAGAAGUGCUAACACCGCAUACGAUCUAAGGAUGAAAGCGGGGGACCGUAAGGCCUCGCGCGAUUGGAGCGGCCGAUGUCAGAUUAGGUAGUUGGUGGGGUAAAGGCUCACCAAGCCGACGAUCUGUAGCUGGUCUGAGAGGACGACCAGCCACACUGGGACUGAGACACGGCCCAGACUCCUACGGGAGGCAGCAGUGGGGAAUGUUGGACAAUGGGCGCAAGCCUGAUCCAGCAAUGCCGCGUGCAGGAAGAAGGCCUUCGGGUUGUAAACUGCUUUUGUACGGAGCGAAAAGGCUCUCUCUAAUACAGGGGGCUGAUGACGGUACCGUAAGAAUAAGCACCGGCUAACUACGUGCCAGCAGCCGCAGUAA
RNAcentral lists this ribosomal RNA (493 nucleotides) under uncultured bacterium. RNAcentral describes it as "partial 16S ribosomal RNA". It matches the Rfam family "Bacterial small subunit ribosomal RNA", at positions 30 to 523 of the family's 1533-position model. The record is from RNAcentral.